GAUGGAGCAGUCUGGUAGCUCGUCGGGCUCAUAACCCGAAGGUCGUAGGUUCAAAUCCUGCUCCCGCAA
This 69-nucleotide transfer RNA is filed under the name Enterococcus cecorum. RNAcentral describes it as "tRNA-Met". It matches the Rfam family "tRNA". From Rfam's summary of the family: Transfer RNA (tRNA) molecules are approximately 80 nucleotides in length. Their secondary structure includes four short double-helical elements and three loops (D, anti-codon, and T loops). The record is from RNAcentral. Lineage: Bacteria; Bacillati; Bacillota; Bacilli; Lactobacillales; Enterococcaceae.